Molecule: ribosomal RNA, 253 nt
Filed under: uncultured bacterium
Lineage: Bacteria
Description: partial 16S ribosomal RNA
Rfam family: Bacterial small subunit ribosomal RNA
Source: RNAcentral
UACGAAGGGGGCUAGCGUUGCUCGGAAUCACUGGGCGUAAAGCGCACGUAGGCGGCUUGUUAAGUCAGGGGUGAAAUCCUGGAGCUCAACUCCAGAACUGCCUUUGAUACUGAUGAGCUUGAGUUCGGGAGAGGUGAGUGGAACUGCGAGUGUAGAGGUGAAAUUCGUAGAUAUUCGCAAGAACACCAGUGGCGAAGGCGGCUCACUGGCCCGGUACUGACGCUGAGGUGCGAAAGCGUGGGGAGCAAACAGG